This 296-nucleotide ribosomal RNA is filed under the name Lentisphaeria bacterium. Its description in RNAcentral is "partial 23S ribosomal RNA". It matches the Rfam family "Bacterial large subunit ribosomal RNA", at positions 2634 to 2925 of the family's 2925-position model. Lineage: Bacteria; Pseudomonadati; Lentisphaerota; Lentisphaeria. The record is from RNAcentral.
GUCCUUAUCCACUGCGGGCGCAGGACAUUUGACAAGAUCAUUCCUUAGUACGAGAGGACCGGGAAUUGACUGACCUCUGGUAUUCCGGUUGUCACUACAGUGGCAGCGCCGGGUAGCUAUGUCGGGAAAGGAUAAGCGCUGAAAGCAUCUAAGCGCCAAGCCCCCUUGAAGAUGAGAUGUCCCUGAUUCUUUGAAUCCUGAAGACCGCUUGAAGACCACAAGCUUGAUAGGAUGCAAGUGUAAGAACAGUAAUGUUUUCAGCUUAGCAUUACUAACCGGUCGUGAGGCUUGACCAC